UACAGGGGGUGCAAACGUUGCUCGGAAUUAUUGGGCGUAAAGAGCUCGUAGGCGGUUUGUCGCGUCUGCUGUGAAAACUCGGGGCUUAACUCCGGGCCUGCAGUGGGUACGGGCAGACUAGAGUGCGGUAGGGGAGACUGGAAUUCCUGGUGUAGCGGUGAAAUGCGCAGAUAUCAGGAGGAACACCGGUGGCGAAGGCGGGUCUCUGGGCCGUAACUGACGCUGAGGCGCGAAAGCGUGGGGAGCGAUCCGG
Molecule: ribosomal RNA, 253 nt
Filed under: uncultured bacterium
Lineage: Bacteria
Description: partial 16S ribosomal RNA
Rfam family: Bacterial small subunit ribosomal RNA
Source: RNAcentral